RNAcentral lists this ribosomal RNA (627 nucleotides) under Claviceps purpurea (ergot fungus). RNAcentral's name for it is "eukaryotic LSU rRNA". The stretch from base 234 to 387 matches the Rfam family "5.8S ribosomal RNA". Lineage: Eukaryota; Fungi; Ascomycota; Sordariomycetes; Hypocreales; Clavicipitaceae. The record is from RNAcentral.
GGAAGUAAAAGUCGUAACAAGGUCUCCGUUGGUGAACCAGCGGAGGGGAUCAUUACCGAGUUUACAACUCCCAAACCCACUGUGAACUUAUACCCAAAACGUUGCCUCGGCGGGCACAGCGGUACCCGAGCCCCCCCGCAAGGGAGGCAGAGGCGCCCGCCCGCCAGGGGACCAAAACUCUUCUGUAUACCCAUAGCGGCAUGUCUGAGUGGAUUUACAAACAAAUGAAUCAAAACUUUCAACAACGGAUCUCUUGGUUCUGGCAUCGAUGAAGAACGCAGCGAAAUGCGAUACGUAAUGUGAAUUGCAGAAUUCAGUGAAUCAUCGAAUCUUUGAACGCACAUUGCGCCCGCCAGUAUUCUGGCGGGCAUGCCUGUUCGAGCGUCAUUUCAACCCUCAAGCCCUGCCUGGUGUUGGGGACCGGCUCAGCGGGUGCGGGCUUCGGCCCGUCCCGUGCCGCCCCCGAAAUGGAUCGGCGGUCUCGUCGCAGCCUUCUUUGCGUAGUAACAUACCACCUCGCAACAGGAGCGCGGCGCGGCCACUGCCGUAAAACGCCCAACUUUUUAGAGUUGACCUCGAAUCAGGUAGGAAUACCCGCUGAACUUAAGCAUAUCAAUAAGCGGAGGA